Poecile atricapillus (Black-capped chickadee) is the source of this 700-nucleotide long non-coding RNA. RefSeq lists it as uncharacterized. The transcript is spliced from 3 exons. Lineage: Eukaryota; Metazoa; Chordata; Aves; Passeriformes; Paridae. The record is from RefSeq and is a predicted model, not a curated record.
AGUUGUAUAGUUGUAUUUAUAGGUGUAUCUAUUUAUAUAUCUGUAUAGAUUGUAUAGAUAGUUAGUUAUGGAUGCGAUAGGAUUUUAUUUCUAUGUAUACAGUUACAUUUAUAGAUUUUCAAAUUUACAUUUGUAUAUGUAGCGAGUAACAUUUCUAUGCGCACACAGUUAGAUUUCUAUAUGUGCAUAGUUCUUUAGUUAGAGCUGUAUAGAUGUAUAGGUCCAUAGAUUGAGGUGUGUAGGCCUAGGGUGCAUUUUUGCCUCUUUCCCCCUUGGCUGCCUUUUUCAUCUCUUGUUUUUCCCGCUGUGCCCCUUGUGUCCCCCUGUGCUGGGUCCGAGCUGGGGCCGGGCCAGGCGGAGCAGCAGUUGCAGCCCUGGCUGUCCCUGGAGCGGUGGGAGCUGCCGGUGGCCCCAGGCACUGUCCUGUGAGGAGCUGCUGAAGGACGCUGUGCUGAAGAGCUUGAGGACAUCCAGACACUGCCAGGAGGCAGCAGGGAGAAGCUGAAGGCCUGGAACAAGAGCAGUGAGCAGGGAUGUGCUGGGGCCACGCGAGAGCCUGGAUGUCCCAUCUGCUGUCCCUGUCCAGGAGAGCUGCUCUGCAUGGGAGGAGAAGACUGAGGGAGAAGCUUUGAAGAUCGGGCGGCUGAUUUAUUCUUAUGCAGUUCCAUGGAUCUUUAGAUUGGGACAGCGACAUUUGUAU